AACGAACGCUGGCGGCAUGCCUAACACAUGCAAGUCGAACGAGGCCUUCGGGUCUAGUGGCGCACGGGUGCGUAACGCGUGGGAACCUGCCCCUAGGUUCGGAAUAACUCCCCGAAAGGGGUGCUAAUACCGGAUAAUGUCUUCGGACCAAAGAUUUAUCGCCUUUGGAUGGGCCCGCGUUGGAUUAGCUAGUUGGUAGGGUAAAAGCCUACCAAGGCGACGAUCCAUAGCUGGUCUGAGAGGAUGAUCAGCCACACUGGGACUGAGACACGGCCCAGACUCCUACGGGAGGCAGCAGUGGGGAAUAUUGGACAAUGGGCGAAAGCCUGAUCCAGCAAUGCCGCGUGAGUGAUGAAGGCCUUAGGGUUGUAAAGCUCUUUUACCCGGGAUGAUAAUGGCAGUACCGGGAGAAUAAGCUCCGGCUAACUCCGUG
Molecule: ribosomal RNA, 433 nt
Filed under: uncultured bacterium
Lineage: Bacteria
Description: partial 16S ribosomal RNA
Rfam family: Bacterial small subunit ribosomal RNA
Source: RNAcentral